Long non-coding RNA from Papaver somniferum (opium poppy), 1443 nucleotides. RefSeq lists it as uncharacterized. NCBI's taxonomy places the organism in Eukaryota, Viridiplantae, Streptophyta, Magnoliopsida, Ranunculales, Papaveraceae. The transcript is spliced from 5 exons. The record is from RefSeq and is a predicted model, not a curated record.
AUCCCUGAAUCAUACCAUUCUCCAACUCAAACCCAUGAACAUCAGCGAUGUUCUUCUCUGCUUUCUCAUCUGCUACUCCAAAUCAAAUACCCAUUUCAGAUUCAUCUUUUUUCAUCUCUGAUUCUUCUUCUCGGCAUUGGAUUCGAACAAAACCCUAACCCGUAAACCUAAAACCAUCUCAGAUCCAUCCACUCAUCCAAAUUAGGUGAUUCAAACACAAAUCUGUGCUAUUUGUCGUCUCAAUUCGACAACCCAUUUUACAGUCCUCCCAUACCAGUAAGAACUCAUCAAUCCCCUCUUCACAGUAGCAGCAGGAAGAUGUCUAGGAGAAACUGUUCAUAUGGCAUAUAUGUUAAUGGGUGUUUACGUUUUCCCUCAGCCAGUUGUGGGUUUUAAAUUCAGAGCCAUAUGUGUUUGUGGAAAUGUCAAGGAGAAACUAAGGUGAUUAUUGAACACACAAACAUGAAAAGGAGAUCAGAUUCAGGUGAUUAUUGAACACACAAACAUGAAAAGGAGAUCAGAUUCAUAAACCCAAAAUUUCUAUUUAACACAAAAUUGUUGUUGCUCCUUUUUCUAGAUAGGUAAACCUCAAAUGUUUAUUGUGAACCUGUAUGUGUUUACUAAGAAUAUGUUUGUUUGGACGAACACUCAUAUCAUGAAUGAUAUUUCCUUAAUUUAUAGCAUGAAUAGCAGAACUAAUUUUGAAGGCAAUGCAGUUCUACGGGGCUUUUCUUAUAAUCUUAAAGAUCUUUUUCUAGGUGUACCAUGUGGCAAAUGACAUCCCUGAGGCAAUAUAGAAAUUCUUCUUUACAGUUGGCAGGGUGUGCACUCUAGGAAAUUAGUUCACAGAUAAUGUUAUACAGUUCGCUGCUUCUGAAUCCAUGGUGGCGAAUGGUUUUUGCUUUUGGUUGUACUUGGGUUGGCACUCUCCCUGUUGGGUUAUUGAAGCAACUGAAAACUAAGUAGUUCAAGCUGCAUCCUAACAAAAAUCAAAUAUGACAGGAGGAAAACUCAAGAUCACCCUUCGGGAAGAUUGUAUCUUUGGGAGUGAUUAAUCACCAACGGUGGUUGCUAAUUGCUAUAUCAUCGACCUUUGAUUCUGAAAUGUAAUUCCAAAGCAUGUACACUGUAUGACACAUUAGAGUUUUCUAAUCAGUUAUUUAUGUAUUAUUAUGCGAAAUCCAGUGUAUAUGAAUAUUGAUUUCAGCACUUGGUCUCCUCCACCAUCUAAUCCUUCCUCUAAGAUUAACAUAGCCAUCUCCACAAUUCGCGUCUUGGCUGCCUUAUGUAAUACUGCAUUCCUUCUGCUAUUAGUCAGAGACAAUUUGAUCUCGGCGACAUUAGAAACACUUUUUGUUUGGUAAUAGUAAGGAGUUUAAAAUGUAUUUGACAAGAAAUUGGUUUAAGAAUUCGAAUCUCUUAUGAAUUUUGAAUUUGCAUUUA